Molecule: transfer RNA, 73 nt
Filed under: Saccoglossus kowalevskii
Lineage: Eukaryota; Metazoa; Hemichordata; Enteropneusta; Harrimaniidae
Description: tRNA-Met
Rfam family: tRNA
About the family: Transfer RNA (tRNA) molecules are approximately 80 nucleotides in length. Their secondary structure includes four short double-helical elements and three loops (D, anti-codon, and T loops). Further hydrogen bonds mediate the characteristic L-shaped molecular structure. tRNAs have two regions of fundamental functional importance: the anti-codon, which is responsible for specific mRNA codon recognition, and the 3' end, to which the tRNAs corresponding amino acid is attached (by aminoacyl-tRNA synthetases). tRNAs cope with the degeneracy of the genetic code in two manners: having more than one tRNA (with a specific anti-codon) for a particular amino acid; and 'wobble' base-pairing, i.e. permitting non-standard base-pairing at the 3rd anti-codon position.
Source: RNAcentral
GCCUCGGUAGCGCAGUAGGCAGCGCGUCAGUCUCAUAAUCUGAAGGUCGUGAGUACGAUCCUCACACGAGGCA